Molecule: ribosomal RNA, 370 nt
Filed under: uncultured Raoultella sp.
Lineage: Bacteria; Pseudomonadati; Pseudomonadota; Gammaproteobacteria; Enterobacterales; Enterobacteriaceae
Description: bacterial SSU rRNA
Rfam family: Bacterial small subunit ribosomal RNA
Source: RNAcentral
GGAGGGUGCAAGCGUUAAUCGGAAUUACUGGGCGUAAAGCGCACGCAGGCGGUUUGUUAAGUCAGAUGUGAAAUCCCCGGGCUCAACCUGGGAACUGCAUUUGAAACUGGCAAGCUUGAGUCUUGUAGAGGGGGGUAGAAUUCCAGGUGUAGCGGUGAAAUGCGUAGAGAUCUGGAGGAAUACCGGUGGCGAAGGCGGCCCCCUGGACAAAGACUGACGCUCAGGUGCGAAAGCGUGGGGAGCAAACAGGAUUAGAUACCCUGGUAGUCCACGCUGUAAACGAUGUCGACUUGGAGGUUGUUCCCUUGAGGAGUGGCUUCCGGAGCUAACGCGUUAAGUCGACCGCCUGGGGAGUACGGCCGCAAGGUUA